Helianthus annuus (common sunflower) is the source of this 58-nucleotide non-coding RNA. NCBI's taxonomy places the organism in Eukaryota, Viridiplantae, Streptophyta, Magnoliopsida, Asterales, Asteraceae. The record is from Rfam.
CAUUGGUUGAGAGUUGUUGCCCCUCUCCUGAUGAGUCCAAGACAGGACGAAACCAAUG